GACGAACGCUGGCGGCGGGCUUAACACAUGCAAGUCGAACGGAAAGGCCCUGCUUUUGUGGGGUGCUCGAGUGGCGAACGGGUGAGUAACACGUGAGUAACCUGCCCUUGCCUUUGGGAUAACUUCAGGAAACUGGGGCUAAUACCGGAUCGGAGCUCCUGCUGCAUGGUGGGGGUUGGAAAGUUUCGGCGGUUGGGGAUGGACUCGCGGCUUAUCAGCUUGUUGGUGGGGUAGUGGCUUACCAAGGCUUUGGCGGGUAGCCGGCCUGAGAGGGUGACCGGCAAAAGUGGGAGUGAGAUACGGCACAGACUCCUACGGGAGGCAGCAGUGGGGAAUAUUGCACAAUGGGCGGAAGCCGGAUGCAGCAACGCCGCGUGAGGGAUGACGGCCUGCGGGUUGGAGGCCGCAAUCGCCUGUGACGAAGCGUGAGUGACGGUAAUGGGUAAAGAAGCACCGGCUAAUUACGUG
RNAcentral lists this ribosomal RNA (468 nucleotides) under uncultured bacterium. Its description in RNAcentral is "partial 16S ribosomal RNA". It matches the Rfam family "Bacterial small subunit ribosomal RNA", at positions 28 to 507 of the family's 1533-position model. The record is from RNAcentral.